UACGUAGGGGGCAAGCGUUAUCCCGAAUUACUGGGUGUAAAGGGAGCGUAGACGGUAAUGUAAGUCUGGAGUGAAAGGCGGGGGCCCAACCCCCGGACUGCUCUGGAAACUAUGUUACUAGAGUGCAGGAGAGGUAAGCGGAAUUCCUAGUGUAGCGGUGAAAUGCGUAGAUAUUAGGAGGAACACCAGUGGCGAAGGCGGCUUACUGGACUGUAACUGACGUUGAGGCUCGAAAGCGUGGGGAGCAAACAGG
RNAcentral lists this ribosomal RNA (253 nucleotides) under uncultured bacterium. RNAcentral's name for it is "partial 16S ribosomal RNA". It matches the Rfam family "Bacterial small subunit ribosomal RNA", at positions 524 to 776 of the family's 1533-position model. The record is from RNAcentral.